GGCAGCAGUGGGGAAUAUUGCACAAUGGGCGCAAGCCUGAUGCAGCCAUGCCGCGUGUGUGAAGAAGGCCUUCGGGUUGUAAAGCACUUUCAGCGAGGAGGAAGGUGGUGAACUUAAUACGUUCAUCAAUUGACGUUACUCGCAGAAGAAGCACCGGCUAACUCCGUGCCAGCAGCCGCGGUAAUACGGAGGGUGCAAGCGUUAAUCGGAAUUACUGGGCGUA
Molecule: ribosomal RNA, 223 nt
Filed under: Serratia marcescens
Lineage: Bacteria; Pseudomonadati; Pseudomonadota; Gammaproteobacteria; Enterobacterales; Yersiniaceae
Also listed under: 1 other name
Description: partial 16S ribosomal RNA
Rfam family: Bacterial small subunit ribosomal RNA
Source: RNAcentral